AGCUCGCCGCGUCCCGGCGCUCAGCCUCCGUGCCAGAGGCGAGCGCUGCGCUCCAGGCGCCGCAAUCCAGAGGACACGGCCUCUCCGACACCUCCAGCCGCGGAGAGUCGGUAGCAUCAUCGGCGGGAGCGGUCGCAGCCUCCUCGGCUCCUCUCUCGAGUCCUUCCCAUCACCUCGCUGAGACCCUGUCCUGGCCGCGGGGACACCCCUUUUUGUCCUGCCCCCAAGGCUCGUGGGACCGACGGACGGACGCAGGGAUCCAGGGCCGGACUGCGGGCAGCGGCAAGCACCUUGUGAAUGGUGCUCUGGAGCACUUUCCGUGAUUACUACUCAUACCUCUUCCUGGGACACUGUUGAAAAGACCAGCAAACAUCCGGUUUUCUCAGAUAUAAUCUCAGAUUAAUGGAGUUGUGGAACAGAUUAAACUCGUCUCACUAAAAUCAGAACAGCUGAGCAUCACAUACCAAGAGUGACAGCCAGUUUAAAAAAAAAAAGACCUGCAAAGUUUGGAUCUUUUC
Non-coding RNA from Leptonychotes weddellii (Weddell seal), 518 nucleotides. The record is from RefSeq and is a predicted model, not a curated record. NCBI's taxonomy places the organism in Eukaryota, Metazoa, Chordata, Mammalia, Carnivora, Phocidae.